AGCGAACGCUAGCGGCGGGCCUAACACAUGCAAGUCGAGCGGAGGGGCAACCCUCAGCGGCGAACGGGUGAGUAACACGUAGGUAAUGUACCCUCUGGUGGGGAAUAACCGUGGGAAACCAUGGCUAAUACCGCAUAUGUCUUUCGAGAUGAAAGCAGCAAUGCGCCAGAGGAGCAGCCUGCGGCCGAUUAUUUAGUCCUAGUUGGUGAGGUAAUGGCUCACCAAGGGUACGAUCGGUAGCUGGUCUGAGAGGAUGAUCAGCCACACUGGAACUGAGACACGGUCCAGACUCCUACGGGAGGCAGCAGUGGGAAUAUUGCGCAAUGGGCGAAAGCCUGACGCAGCCACGCCGCGUGAGUGAUGAAGGCCUGGUUGUAAGACUCUGUCGGAGGGAAGGAAGGGGACGAACCC
Molecule: ribosomal RNA, 411 nt
Filed under: uncultured bacterium
Lineage: Bacteria
Description: bacterial SSU rRNA
Rfam family: Bacterial small subunit ribosomal RNA
Source: RNAcentral